RNAcentral lists this non-coding RNA (148 nucleotides) under Chlorocebus sabaeus (green monkey). The record is from Rfam by way of RNAcentral. Lineage: Eukaryota; Metazoa; Chordata; Mammalia; Primates; Cercopithecidae.
GCUGGGUGUGGUGGUGCGCACCUGUAAUCCCUGCUACUUGGGAGGCUGAGACAGGAGGAUUGCUUCAACCCAGGAAGCAGAGGUGGCAGGGAGCCAAGAUUGUGCCACUGCACUCUAGCCUGGGUAACAGAGUAAGACCCUGUCUCAA